UGACCACUCCAGUACUUCUUUGUUGAUUGAUCAGCAUUCAUAGCAAGGGUUUUGAAUUUCAUGGGAGAAAGAAGCAUACAAAUGUUUGUUUUGUGUGUUUCCUUGUUUAGUAUCUAAGUCGGUAUACUGGGAUCAAAGGUUCAGCCUCCUGGUGUUUAAAUCUUAAUCCUUGGGAAUGCCUGAUAAUCUAAUUUCAAUUUAGCUGAUAUGGUUCUGUUUAUUUGGUUUUGGUUCUGGUUAUGGUGUGUAGAGAAAUCUUACUGUCAGCAGUGAGCAAUAAUAUACCCACAUGCUAAUUUUGUCUUGCAUUUUGCGUCCAGCAGUAACCACACAGGUUCCUUCCAUAGCCUACAAUAAGGUUAUGAAAGCAACACCAUUCUUUUGCUGUUUGUAAAAUGUGCAUUUUUAAGAGCAAUAGCAUUUAGAUUAUGGAUAGUGUUGGAACAUGCAAAUACACAUGCAUGACAAUGCAGAGCAGUUUGGUAAAUCUCAUAAAUCUUUUCAUGAUUUCUUUGUUUGGAAACCAUCCUUCAUCGGUCCUUAAAUCUCAGUCUUGACAGACUGAGAUUUGGGAUGUGGAAACUGGAAAGUUUCCAGAACUACAGAAUGUGACCUCUGAAGAUGCAGGUAUAACAAGGGAGAGAAAAUGAGAUCAACCUGGCAACUGUAGAAGGUCAGAAACAGAAAUGAGUUCAAGACAUGUCAUUUAGGAUGUAAACCUUCCCAGUUUACGGCCUGAUCCCCCAAAGCAGUUUUAUACUAAAGUACUUCAAAUGAAGCUGGCUGGUACCCAUUUCCAUAACCUUUAGAGUGGAGACCAGAUUUUGCACAAAUUCAAGCAUAUGUGUUUCACUGUGAUAUUUUCAAGCUUUGUUUUUGAAAACCACCUGCUUUUACAAACACAUCCUUAAACCCUAACUGCUCAAGGCAACAAUGUUCAGAAUCUACUUGCUACACUCAGGAUAUUUAUAUAGCAUACUAUCCUGCUAGUAAUCCACAUCCAAUAGCAUCCAUAAUGGGGGGGCAGUUUGUAGGUCAGUGCAGAGCACAAACUUUGCAUGUAAACGGUCCCUAACAUUUCCAGGCAAGACUGGGAAGACUCCUGUAGAGCUACUGCCAUUCAGUGUAGACAAUACAAAGCUAUGUGAACUAAAGGUAUGACUUGGUAUGAAAUAGGUUCUUAAACUCCCAAUGCCUAGGCAGAUGUGAGGGACUGAAUUGGGAUAAUGUAAAUAUCAGUCUUUGCUAAUAUGUUCAAGAUGGAUAAUUGUUUUUACACAUGCAAUCACUUAAAUUCUAGUAGCUCUAGAUUAAAGCUUCCUUCAGAUGUUCAAAUGAAAGGGGGAGGAACAAUUUUACUUUUGAUGAAAUUGACACUUUUCUGAAGUUGGGAAUGGGUGGACCAACCUAAGUCUGAUUUGAGUCAGUUUCACUCAAUCAUACAUAGGUCGUGUUCCACCCUAUUUCUUCGUGGGUGCAUGAAAGAAGGCAUGCAAAAUCCAGAUGUAUAUUGUGCACAUUUUGUAUGUAUUCUUCCUGUAAACUGCACAUUCUUCCCAGUGUUUUUCAAAGUAUUUCCUCUAAAAUGCACAUUUUGCAUGCAUUUUGUUAAUGUAAAAAAAAUUGUUAGAGUCAGGUCUAUUUCUUCUUUUGAACAUCUGAAAAAGGUGGGUGAGUAGUAUUCUCUACAUUGAAAUGCAGCAAUGAAAUCCUGGUUAACUUUAUCACUGAAAAUCCAACCCUUGCAUCUCAGUCCUAAAAUUUAUUCCACUGAGUUCAUAGUAAGGCUGCAUCAGAUUGAAAAUGUAAGCACCCUAAAGCCCAUUGAAACACAUUCAAAACAUCAUGCUUAAUUCUACAUUAGAUUGUAGCAUGUAUCUCAUUGAUUUGGGUGACCCUCAACUUCUAGUAUGAUGAGAGGGCUGCAGAAUUUAACAAGGCAUCACAUAAAUCCUGCUUCCUUCACUGAACAUGCCUCCAAGGCACUGGUUUAGGACAGCAGCUUUAGCUCCUAAUUUGGUCUGCUGAUACGUGAUAUUAGCUACAUUUCUUUGAUCUACCUAGAAUGCUCCCAACAGGAUUUCCCAGGAGCUUCUACGAGUAUCUUUGUCAAGAUUUCCUUCCCAUGAUGCAACCAUUGAAAUAAAUUCCAUGUAUGCACUCAGAAAGAUUAAUCCCCUCUUAACAUCUUGAUUUCAGACUCUGUCUUGUUACAAAGGAAGGCUGUUGAUGCUUCUUCCGUUAAUUAUGCACAUGACAGGUAAUGCUGUCUGAAGACAAAAAUCAAGGCUGAGACAACAAUGCUUCGUGCCAUGUCUCAGCAGAUGGCAGGGGGAAAUGAUAAUAAAACAUUAUAUAUAUGGCCUCCAUUAAUAUUUAAGCAAUUUUCCUGAAGAACAGGACAAGCACACUCAAGCUGAUAAAGCAGAAGUGAUAAGUGGAGCUUAAGGUGUUGACUGGUUAACACCUUCUUCUCAGUAACAGGGCACUCCAUUUGUCUUUAACGUGCUUGGCAUAGCUUGCUUCCCAUCCCUUGUCCUUUGAAUUGAUCUGAGAGUGUUUGGAUUGUCUAAUGCAACCCUCACCAAACCAAGCAUGGGUCAGAGAGAGAAUGAGAGUGUGUGAGAGAACAGAUUGGCAGGAACCAGUUGAAACUUGCCUAUGUGAAAUGAAGAGGGCUGAAAGUAGGAAUGGUGGAGGAAUUUGAUCCUGUUCACAUUUAAGGGCCAACUUGCCCAAUUUUCACUCUCAGAGGCAAGUAUGAGAAACCCAGCCAUCCUUUGAAAUGCACAUUUAUCUGAAUUUUUCAAUGCAGUUCUCUGGCCAAGUAAUGUGUACAAAACUGCUAAAGUGAGCAUAAAAAUGAACACAGUGGUGAAAACUAUAC
Non-coding RNA from Podarcis lilfordi (Lilford's wall lizard), 2887 nucleotides. Lineage: Eukaryota; Metazoa; Chordata; Lepidosauria; Squamata; Lacertidae. The record is from the annotation of a GenBank genome assembly.